UCUACAGGUCGAGCAAGUCUCGUAAAUUUCACGAUUGCGAGCCACGCUUCACGCAACCGUGUUUGCGUACUUGUGUUUCGAGUUGCGUGGUCGUGCGGAGUUAUAUUUACCAAAUUUCAUAGAAGAGUGGGUGGGGCCAAAUUUAAAUAUAAUCGUUUCUACUGAUUCAUAAUAAUAAUAUGUAGGUAUACUAUUCUCAAUAUGGUUACUGGGUGUAAAAGAUAAAUCUUAUUCUAUCUGUUCUUCAUGAGUUUUAGAUAAUUUUAGUUGUAUUUCUUUGUAAUUUUGUGUUGUACAAAGAUUAAUUUAACAUUUUCUCUGGAAGUAUUAAUUUAGAAAGAUAAUAUGCUUCAUUGGUGUUGUGUUUUGAAGUGUGAAAUGCAAAGUAAUUGUGAUAAAGUCAAGAUAAAGUUCACUUUUAAACUGAACUAAAUAAGGUAUCUGAGAGACAACAAUGGUUAAAUGCAAUACAAUGUACAGGUUUUACUAGCGAAAUGAAAAUUUUCCUGUCCUGUCUGCUGUAAUCAUUUUAUAUCUGGAAAAUAGGAAAACCAGCCGACUUAAUCGAUAAUAACAAUCUCCAGAUUGGGUUCCUUCAAUAAAUAUGGGCUAUAAACACAAUGAAAUAAGUUCCCCAAAAUCUAAAAUGGAGUGGUAUCAAAGGAGAAUUAAAGGAAAAAAUAUUCAUAUUGAAAUUAUUUAUAAGGCACUGGACUGUCUUAAAUUCUACAAUAAUACUAGGUGGGUAAAUGAUUUUAGACAUUUUUCAUUAAGAGUAGAUUAAGGUUAAGUACAUUUUCAUUCAGUAGAUUUAAGACUUGUUUACACGGGUAGAGUAAUGAUGCAAGUACUUGAUAGAGUAGAGUAACUCUACCUGUAAAAAUGCUCAGCACAGUAGAAUAGCUGGUAGAGUGUAUAGUUGGAGUUAAAGUAGAGUGACUAGCAACCUAUGGCAAAGUAACUACUCUAUGACCACCACUACUGCCAAAAUGUCUACUCAGCUGCACACUCUACCCAUGGAACACGCUCAAUUACGGCAGAAUAGAGUAGGUAGGAGAGUACAUGGGGGCGCUGUCAUUCUGGCUGGAAUUGUGUUUUGUGUAAAUAGUGAAAAUGAAGUUCACCGAAGAUGAAACUUUAAAACUUGUAGAGCUAUAAUACGGCGAAUACCAGUGUUUAUGGAAUUUAGGUAGUGUAUACUACAGAAAUAAAAGUUUGCAGCAAGCUGCGCAGGAUGAAAUCGUCGAAAGAAUGGCAAAGG
Molecule: long non-coding RNA, 1261 nt
Filed under: Diabrotica virgifera virgifera (western corn rootworm)
Lineage: Eukaryota; Metazoa; Arthropoda; Insecta; Coleoptera; Chrysomelidae
Description: uncharacterized LOC126880126
Source: RNAcentral